RNAcentral lists this ribosomal RNA (379 nucleotides) under uncultured cyanobacterium. RNAcentral's name for it is "bacterial SSU rRNA". It matches the Rfam family "Bacterial small subunit ribosomal RNA", at positions 376 to 770 of the family's 1533-position model. The record is from RNAcentral. Lineage: Bacteria; Bacillati; Cyanobacteriota.
GGCAACCCUGACGGAGCAACGCCGCGUGGGGGAGGAAGGUCUGUGGAUUGUAAACUCCUUUUCUCUAGGAAGAAGUUCUGACGGUACUAGAGGAAUCAGCAUCGGCUAACUCCGUGCCAGCAGCCGCGGUAAGACGGAGGAUGCAAGCGUUAUCCGGAAUUAUUGGGCGUAAAGCGUCCGCAGGCGGCUUAGCAAGUCUGCUGUCAAAGACUGCAGCUCAACUGUGGGCCGGCGGUGGAAACUGAUGAACUUGAGUAUGGUAGGGGUAGAGGGAAUUCCCAGUGUAGCGGUGAAAUGCGUAGAUAUUGGGAAGAACACCAGUGGCGAAGGCGCUCUGCUGGGCCAUAACUGACGCUGAGGGACGAAAGCUAGGGGAGCG